Nothoprocta perdicaria is the source of this 226-nucleotide long non-coding RNA. RefSeq lists it as uncharacterized. NCBI's taxonomy places the organism in Eukaryota, Metazoa, Chordata, Aves, Tinamiformes, Tinamidae. The transcript has 3 exons. The record is from RefSeq and is a predicted model, not a curated record.
AAGGCAACUGUAACUGUGUCAUUCUGAUGUCUCAGGAAUAUACUGGCUGAUCAAAAGCAGAACACUGUACCAGUAGUGUAACAUGAUGAAGCUGAUUGCUCUGAAGAAUCCUGCUUUAGCUAUGCAUGGAUCACCAUCUCAGCAUAGAAGGGAAUUAGACUCCUUAUUGCUGUCAGUUGUGCCAGAAAAGAUUGAGUAUAAAGUAACUGUAAGAUGCCACUCCUGA